UGAAUGUACACCCCAGGAAUGGAAGACAGGAAAGCCAGAAAAAGACUCAGUCCCUGAUGGCUGAAGAGCUACCAUACCUGCCCCUAGAUCUUCUAUUUCUGAUCAUCUUCUAUGCAAGGCCUGGAAUGUAAUCAUGGAUAGCCAUGGAUGAUCAGCUUUCAUCAUGUGGGCAUGGAACAAGAUGGAAGGAAGCUAGGGCCCUGAGUGACCUGUGGAGCAGAGGCCUUUGCCCACCCUGGGCUGCCUGAUUUCCCCUGGACUAUCAUGAGACAGAAGAAAAAGCUUCUAUCUUAUUUGAACCACUGUGUUUUGGGAACCUUGGACUAGAGCAGCCUAGCCUUCAUACACUAACAAGGUGUAUGUGUCUGCUCUUUGUUGCUUUUGUAGGUGGUUGUGUUAUAAGCCUGAAUGCAGAAGUUGUCCCCCAGACUACUGGAUUUGCUGCCUUUUAAAACAGGUUUAUUGAACUAUAAUUGACAUACAAUGAACUGCAUAUAGGUAAAGUGUACAAUUUGAUAAGUACACUUUUUGAGCAAAUCCACCCUUUGUUCUGGAAGAAGACACUCUAUAGUCUCAGGCUGUUUCUUUACCAACAUCAACAAGCUAGUCUUAAACAGAGGAACGUCAGUGCCUCACUUUCAAGACAAUCAAGAUUAUCUCCCAACAUUCUACUAGUAGAGGGUCAGAAACAGAGUUAAAAGUUCUCGACUAGAGGUAGAAUUGAAACCCCAGCUGAGAAGUAUCAAGGUGCCUUCCUUCCCCAAAGCUACAUAUUCUUGUGUCAGGAUCUUACCAGGAAAUGGAAGGCACAUUUACACAGGGCAGCCCAAGAGACUGUUUCAAAGGAAACCAGCAAGAUGUGACAAAGCACCCCAAGACUAGCGACACUGGGAGACCUUCUCACUUGACUUAAAAGCUGGGGCAGGAGAGUUACAGGACCCAGUAUUAGCUGUAGCCAAAGCCUGGGCAGGGCCACCUAACAUGAGCUGCACCCUUCUGUAGAGCAGCACAGACCUUGUGCCUCUGAGGCCCAGCAGGAUGGGGCCUUGCUCAUCCUUCCCUUGCAGAUCUUGCUAAUGCUUCCUGUUGCCUGAACCCAGCUGGAAGCCAGAGGGCAAGGGAAAUCAAUUGAGACAGAUAAUGGAGAUAAUCCCCUGGGCACAGGGCAGCAUGGCAGAGGUAAGGAGUCUGUCUAGAGCCACAAAGGAAGAGGACUGAGUCCAGAGGUGAAAGCAGUCACGUAUCCCCAAAGACACCUGCUACACAUUUGGGCUUUGAUUUAUCAAUGAGAAGGCUUGAGGGACAGUGGGAAAAAUGAUGAGGAGUCAUUAGGUCCUUGUGGAAAUGGUGCCCUUGAAGGAUGAGCCUGUAAUCACUAGGUACACGUGGGUGGAUGAAUGCUGGUGAAACAGGUGGAGGGAAUGAAAGGACAGAGAGAGCACGAGAACACUGUAAGCAGAGCAGAAGUCCAUGCAAAAGCCAGAGAUGUGAGACAGCACGGGUACAUAUAGGGACCCGCAGGUGUUCUGGAGUGGCUUUGCUGUGGGUUGUGAUGAGAUAUCCACUGUGUUGGAGCUCUGGAACAAAAAGGAGGUCAUCUAAGCUGGUUGCUUCUGUUUUUUUCUUUUCUUUUUUUUCCAGAUGCAUUUCAAUUAGGUGAGGGGUACCAGGCAGAAACCCCUCCUGAAUAUAAACCCUCUGUCUUAUUCUACCAGUUAAAGAUGAACGAUGGCUCACUUCCUAUUGGGUACUAUGUUCAUUAUUUGGGUGACAGGAUCAAUAGAAGCCCAAACCUCAGCAUCAUGCAAUAUACCCAUGUGACAAACCUGUAUCCCCUAAAUCUAAAAUAAUAAUAAAAAAAGAUGUACCAUAGCUCUUAAUUGCUCUUCAAAUCACCCACACCAUUAGAGAAAGCUAUUUCCACCCCAAUCUGAAUUAAAGAAUUCUACAAUCUCCUACAGUCCGAAAGAGAGACUUCAGCUAAAGAGAAAGCUGGUGCUCCUCUUGCUAGCUGAGUGAAUUCUGAUCCUCUUUUUCAUGUUUAUUUUCUUGCUUGAACUCUGCUUUGUUAAAUCAAACACCAGCCCAAAACUGAGCCCAUGGAUCACCAUAUUGGCAGCCUUAUCCUAGAAUCUCAGGGCUGGAAGGAACUCCGAGUACAGCAUUCUCCAGUGUUGGGUGUCAACAGGAGCAGAGUUGGUCUCUUUCGAGAGCUUCCUGGAGAGUCUAUAAAAGCCUGGCUUUGGAACUCUUAUAUUUGGAGGCUGAGAUUCAGAAGGCCUGGGGUGGGGCUUGAGAAUAUAAAUUCUUUAAAAAUUUUUUUUCUUUUCCUUAGAUAAAUCUUAGAAACCAAAGGGAAUUGAAUUCUUAAGAAGACUUGAAAAUGAUUCUAAUAUAGUCGGGUUAGGGGAAAUCUGGUCUUGAGCUUUUUCUUGGGAGAUGUGGUGAGUCCAAGGCAAGCCAGGCUUCAAUUCUGAAUCUACGCUCUUCCCACACAUCUAUGUGGCCUCUGUGCAGAGUCUGAGUUUUAUGUUUUACAAAGAAAACUAGGAGAAAAACUGUUAUUCUUCUGAUUAACAGGAAAGUUGUCCAACUGGCUACACUUGAAUUAUAUCCCCUGAUUAUUAAACUCAGGCUUCUUUAGUUUUCAUUUAUUUUAUUUCAUUGCAUGGAGAUGUUUUAAAAGAGGAAGGCAAGGUGUAGGGGAAGGAUUCUGGGAUAGCGACCAUUCUCACCACAUGCAGAAGGCCAAUACUGCUUCCAGAAGGAGACACAAGGAAUCCUUCACUGAGUGAAAGCUUUUUUUCUUCCAGAGAAUAUCGGUAUUCCUACUUUAUAACAAGCCAGGAGCUUUUUCUGCUUCCUGAUUUAAAAAUUGAUUCCUGACUGCAUAGUUCUCACACAAUAGCUUCCUUCUCGCAGGGGCAGUGUGAUUGCCUGGAAUAUAAAUUCUUAGUGGGCCGACCAGGGAUCACGAGCAGUUAUUAUGUUCUCUGCUGCUCUUAACAUGUUGUGAUUCUCAAUAAAUAAUCCAGAGCCAAA
This 3042-nucleotide non-coding RNA is filed under the name Pan troglodytes (chimpanzee). Lineage: Eukaryota; Metazoa; Chordata; Mammalia; Primates; Hominidae. The record is from RNAcentral.